UAGCCCUCGGCAUAUUGCUCAGUAACACGCGGAUAACCUGCCCUUGGGUUUGGGAUAACCCCGGGAAACUGGGACUAAUACCGGAUAGAUCAAAGAUACUGGAAUGUUCUUUGUUCGAAAGCUCCGGCGCCCAAGGAUGGGUCUGCGGCCUAUCAGGUAGUAGUGGGUGUAACGUACCUACUAGCCUACGACGGGUAAGGGUUGUGAGAGCAAGAGCCCUGAGAUGGAUUCUGAGACAUGAAUCCAG
Molecule: ribosomal RNA, 247 nt
Filed under: uncultured archaeon
Lineage: Archaea
Description: partial 16S ribosomal RNA
Rfam family: Archaeal small subunit ribosomal RNA
Source: RNAcentral